UACGGAGGGUGCAAGCGUUAUCCGGAUUCAUUGGGUUUAAAGGGUGCGCAGGUGGGAAUGUAAGUCAGUGGUGAAAUACUGCCGCUUAACGGUAGAAUUGCCAUUGAUACUGCGUUUCUUGAGUAUGGUUGAGGUAGGUGGAAUGUGUUGUGUAGCGGUGAAAUGCAUAGAUAUGACACAGAACGCCGAUUGCGAAGGCAACUUACUAAGCCAUUACUGACGCUGAGGCACGAAAGCGUGGGGAGCGAACAGGAUUAGAUACCCUGGUAGUCCACGCCGUAAACGAUGUUCACUCGCUGUUUGCGAUACACAGUAAGCGGCUAAGCGAAAGCAUUAAGUGAACCACCUGGGGAGUACGAUCGCAAGGUUGAA
RNAcentral lists this ribosomal RNA (372 nucleotides) under uncultured bacterium. RNAcentral describes it as "bacterial SSU rRNA". It matches the Rfam family "Bacterial small subunit ribosomal RNA", at positions 524 to 898 of the family's 1533-position model. The record is from RNAcentral.